CCUANGGGAGGCAGCAGUCGAGAAUUUUUCACAAUGGGGGAAACCCUGAUGGAGCGACGCCGCGUGGGGGAUGAAGGGCUUCGGCUCGUAAACCCCUGUCAUUUGUGACCAAGGUUGCCGGUUUAAUACAACGGUAACUUGAUGGUAGCGAAAGAGGAAGGGACGGCUAACUCUGUGCCAGCAGCCGCGGUAAUACAGGGGGUGCAAGCGUUGUUCGGAAUUAUUGGGCGUAAAGAGCGUGUAGGCGGUUUGCUAAGUCUGAUGUGAAAGCCCUGGGCUCAACCCAGGAAGUGCAUUGGAAACUGUCAGACUUGAAUACGGGAGAGGGCAGUGGAAUUCCUAGUGUAGGAGUGAAAUCCGUAGAUAUUAGGAGGAACACCGGUGGCGAAGGCGGCUGCCUGGACCGAUAUUGACGCUGAGACGCGAAAGCGUGGGUAGCAAACAGGAUUAGAUACCCUGNUANUC
This 465-nucleotide ribosomal RNA is filed under the name uncultured bacterium. Its description in RNAcentral is "bacterial SSU rRNA". It matches the Rfam family "Bacterial small subunit ribosomal RNA", at positions 338 to 795 of the family's 1533-position model. The record is from RNAcentral.